GACGAACGCUGGCGGCGUGCUUAACACAUGCAAGUCGAACGGAAAGGCCCUGCUUUUGUGGGGUGCUCGAGUGGCGAACGGGUGAGUAACACGUGAGUAACCUGCCCUUGACUUUGGGAUAACUUCAGGAAACUGGGGCUAAUACCGGAUAGGAGCUCCUGCUGCAUGGUGGGGGUUGGAAAGUUUCGGCGGUUGGGGAUGGACUCGCGGCUUAUCAGCUUGUUGGUGGGGUAGUGGCUUACCAAGGCUUUGACGGGUAGCCGGCCUGAGAGGGUGACCGGCCACAUUGGAACUGAGAUACGGCCCAGACUCCUACGGGAGGCAGCAGUGGGAAUAUUGCACAAUGGGCGGAAGCCUGAUGCAGCAACGCCGCGUGCGGGAUGACGGCCUUCGGGUUGUAAACCGCUUUCGCCUGUGACGAAGCGUGAGUGACGGUAAUGGGUAAAGAAGCACCGGCUAACUACGUG
This 467-nucleotide ribosomal RNA is filed under the name uncultured bacterium. RNAcentral's name for it is "partial 16S ribosomal RNA". It matches the Rfam family "Bacterial small subunit ribosomal RNA", at positions 28 to 507 of the family's 1533-position model. The record is from RNAcentral.